Molecule: non-coding RNA, 27 nt
Filed under: Homo sapiens (human)
Lineage: Eukaryota; Metazoa; Chordata; Mammalia; Primates; Hominidae
Source: RNAcentral
UCAUGUUUCCAUGGUAAGGUCUAUAGC